UAUCCUGUCUGAAUAUGGGGGGACCAUCCUCCAAGGCUAAAUACUCCUGACUGACCGAUAGUGAACCAGUACCGUGAGGGAAAGGCGAAAAGAACCCCGGCGAGGGGAGUGAAAAAGAACCUGAAACCGUGUACGUACAAGCAGUGGGAGCACAGAGCAAUCUGUGUGACUGCGUACCUUUUGUAUAAUGGGUCAGCGACUUAUAUUCUGUAGCAAGGUUAACCGAAUAGGGGAGCCGAAGGGAAACCGAGUCUUAACCGGGCGUUAAGUUGCAGGGUAUAGACCCGAAACCCGGUGAUCUAGCCAUGGGCAGGUUGAAGGUUGGGUAACACUAACUGGAGGACCGAACCGACUAAUGUUGAAAAAUUAGCGGAUGACUUGUGGCUGGGGGUGAAAGGCCAAUCAAACCGGGAGAUAGCUGGUUCUCCCCGAAAGCUAUUUAGGUAGCGCCUCGUGAAUUCAUCUCCGGGGGUAGAGCACUGUUUCGGCAAGGGGGUCAUCCCGACUUACCAACCCGAUGCAAACUGCGAAUACCGGAGAAUGUUAUCACGGGAGACACACGGCGGGUGCUAACGUCCGUCGUGAAGAGGGAAACAACCCAGACCGCCAGCUAAGGUCCCAAAGUCAUGGUUAAGUGGGAAACGAUGUGGGAAGGCCCAGACAGCCAGGAUGUUGGCUUAGAAGCAGCCAUCAUUUAAAGAAAGCGUAAUAGCUCACUGGUCGAGUCGGCCUGCGCGGAAGAUGUAACGGGGCUAAACCAUGCACCGAAGCUGCGGCAGCGACACUGUGUGUUGUUGGGUAGGGGAGCGU
This 810-nucleotide ribosomal RNA is filed under the name Escherichia coli. RNAcentral describes it as "partial 23S ribosomal RNA". It matches the Rfam family "Bacterial large subunit ribosomal RNA", at positions 430 to 1239 of the family's 2925-position model. Lineage: Bacteria; Pseudomonadati; Pseudomonadota; Gammaproteobacteria; Enterobacterales; Enterobacteriaceae. The record is from RNAcentral.